Non-coding RNA from Carica papaya (papaya), 773 nucleotides. The record is from RefSeq and is a predicted model, not a curated record. NCBI's taxonomy places the organism in Eukaryota, Viridiplantae, Streptophyta, Magnoliopsida, Brassicales, Caricaceae.
UGGGUGAAGGAGAAGAGAACGAGAGAUUUGACGAUGCAAAACCCGAAGACGAUAAUGGCAAAGCAAGAAAUCUGAACGUCUUUGAUGAAGACGAAGCGAAGACCAUUUCCUCCUCGCCAGCCAGUGCCUGUCUGCUCGACCAUAGACACGGCAAUCAAUGGCAGUCUGAUAUGCUUAAUGGGGAUGGUGAUGGCUCUGUUUUUCUUCCCGUUAUUCAUUUGUUUUCCUCAAACAAGUGUUGGAUACUUAAAAAUGGAAUCUUUACCUCCUUUCUUCGAUAGAAUCUAGUAGUUUUUCAUAGUAGAACCACCUAAAGAAAUAUAUAAUACCGCCGAGCUCAGUAACCCGGGCUUGUCACCUGAGUGGGGGCUUUAAAAUGGUUGGAGAUUGAUUCGUUUCUGAAGGUUGGGCUAUGGAGAGUUAGAUGCUGGCCCACCCAUUCCAAGAGGAGAGUUGAGCUUUGAGUCUUGAGUGUAAGCUUGGGGUGUAAUGCUCUUAGAGCGGAGGGGACUGCGUAAGGCUGGAAACAGAGCAAUGAAGACCUACAGCUCUCUUCAAUGGAGGGAUAAUCGGCCGGUGCUUUCCAGACCCCGUAGUGCCUGAUGGGCCAACCUCAAUAAAGAAAUAUAUAAUAUCUUCGUACUCAAAGAACUCCUUGAUUGUGUGCUCUCUAAUACUAAGUAUUGCUUCAGAGGUUAUUGUAGAUACAGGCAUUACUAAAACAUCUUGCUCUAUCAACGAGAGAAUACCAAUCUAGGACUGUUGACCUUCCA